CUUUUCUCUCUUUUUCCUUCUCAAUUUUCUUCCACUUUUCCUUUUUUUUUGGGGUUUUAUUUCUUGUGAUAGCUGCCACCCGCUUUUGCGUGCCGAGAAAUACGCGGAAUUCAAAGGAGGCCCUGCUGCUGCUGCUUCUUCUUUAUCUUCUUCUUCUCCGUCCAAAGACACGGCCGGAAAUAGUUGAAAUUUGUAUCGGCGCUUGUUUUGUGGCUGCGUUGCUGUGCGGAAAAGAAGGUGAAGGGUCUGACAAACGAAAUUGAAAACUGCAAUUGACACUGAAACUGGAUAUGAAUAUGUAAGUGAAGCGGGUCGCGGUGCUGCGGGCCGGGGGCGCUGGCGGUCGCGUAGCUGUUGCAGGCUAUGUUUAUCACCUGCCACCUGCCACUUGCCACUUGCCACUUGGCAACCGGCGCCGAAGUUGCAAACGAACUUGCCACACGAGGCGGCACGAGCCGCUAUGGGCCAAUUGGGCAGCCCGAUGCGCUGGCAACAUUUGUUGCCAGCAGCUUGGCAACAUUUGUUGCCUGCGCGCUGUCGCCCAAUGCCAUUGCCAAUGAUUGGCCAUUAGCAAUUAUUAACGCAAUUAUUAUUGCAUCGUGUUCUGGCUGCCUUCAGCCUCGUCUCCAUUCGAAACUAACGAGCCAAAAUUAGGUAAACGAAUUAUGAGACUAUGGCCCAGUUCGUAGCGCCUCGCCUUUGUUGCACUUUCCCCAGCUCCAUUAUCAUCAUCAUCAUCAUCAUCGUGUCAUUAUUGUCAUCAUUUUUAUCAUCAGCCCCAUUUGCAUUAUGUAAAUCAUGUUCGCUUUGUCCCUAUUCGCCGCUCCGCUUGUGGCUUAAUUUCAGUUUCUUAUUGCAGUUAAUUAAGUGCAACUUGAGCUUUUUACCAACCAGUACCGUCCCUCCCUCUUCCCAUCCCCUCUCCCCCAAUCCCUCUCGUGCCAUGUUGCAAGCUGCUUAAUUUAUGCACGAAGCGAUUCCGUCUCCAUUGCUGAUGAUGUGCAUGUCAAAGCGCUGACAAUCAGAUGACAAUUCCAGCCAUGAUAAUUCCAGCUAAUUGCCUCAAAUUCUGCCGUCAAUCAACUUUGGUGUAGGGCCUGACGCCAUAACAGUCUCUCCUGAUAUCGAACAGCUGAAUGGGACUGCGAAAUGCUUUGUUAACUCGGGAAUGUGCGACUGAAGAAAGACAAAUGAAUGAUUGAAGAAGAAUGACUGAUGAAAUGCUAUGUAUAAGGUAAUUAGAAGAAUUUCUUAUGAAUGCCUGACAGAUGAAUUAGAUGCACUGUAAGUCUGAUGCAAAUCUGAAAAAUGUCUGAUGAAUGCCUAACGUAGCCAUGGCGGAUGCCUAGUGACAAUAUAAAGCUGAAGUAUGUCGAUGAAUGCCUUAUAAAAGCUUGAUGUACGCAUGAUGUACGCUUGAUGCAAGUCAGCAGAUGCCUGUUGUAUGCUUAAUGUGAGAACGAUGGAUGGAACCCGAUAGAUGCCUGAUGCAAGUCUGGAUGCCUGUUAGAUAUGUGAUGUAUGUAUGAAUGACGGGACGCGUAUCCUGACGAAUUUAUGUUUACCUCAUCGAUACGGGAAUAGAUGUGUGCUUGAUGUAUAACAAAUAGAUGAGGCUUGGAUAGAUGAUGAAUAGGUUCCAGUUAAAUGUCGAGUGUUCAAACGGUUGCUCCAUCAAUGCUUUAUUUAAAAUAUGAAUUUGAUAUAUGCCCGAUUUAUGCUUGCUGGAAGAGCUGACGCAUGUUUGCCGUGCUUCAAUCAGUUCAUAAUUGCGACUUAUUGAGUUUGCAUACUGUAUUGAAAAAACUGGACUGGACUGGAUUGGACUGGACAUUGGCUU
Molecule: non-coding RNA, 1840 nt
Organism: Drosophila virilis
Lineage: Eukaryota; Metazoa; Arthropoda; Insecta; Diptera; Drosophilidae
Source: RefSeq, a predicted model, not a curated record